Eurytemora carolleeae is the source of this 585-nucleotide long non-coding RNA. RefSeq lists it as uncharacterized. NCBI's taxonomy places the organism in Eukaryota, Metazoa, Arthropoda, Copepoda, Calanoida, Temoridae. The record is from RefSeq and is a predicted model, not a curated record. The transcript has 3 exons.
UUAUUCUAGUUACAUCUGUACUACUCUUCCUUCUGCCCAUAUCCUUGACAGUUCUUAUAGCUGUCACACUCAUUUUCAUCUGUCAUUCCAGUAUGAGUUGUGCAUUUCGGUGCUGCUGUCAGUAUAGUGGAGCUCAUCUAGUGGAGGAAACAAGGGAGCACAGAGCGCUAAACGAUCCGAAGGAAGUCCUGGUGCUUAAAUAGAACAAGAUCAACAUCAAAGUGAAUUCACGCAACGCAAAAAAAACUUUGUAAAAAAAGUUGAUUAAAAUAACAGUGAAACAGAAAUUCUUUCAUCUGAUAAAUGAAUAUUGAGAAUGUAAUGUGAUUAAAGUAAACUAAACCGGGUUUUAUUGGUAUAAUUUUAGGUUUAUUUAAUUUAGAAAGAAACAGACCUUAAAAAAUCUUUCAUUUUCUAUUUAAUUUUCGAAACCUGGUUUGGUUAACUUUCAUUGUAAUAAGUUUCCCUCUCUCAUUUGUUAAGAUUGUGUAAAAGAAGAUAGUGAUACACACCAAGAAAUAUAUAGACCAGGAACAGCCAUAUCUCAUGCGUCAAAUCCGUGUACUGCAGUGGGAGGAGAUUAAA